This 449-nucleotide ribosomal RNA is filed under the name uncultured Alcaligenaceae bacterium. RNAcentral describes it as "bacterial SSU rRNA". It matches the Rfam family "Bacterial small subunit ribosomal RNA", at positions 30 to 475 of the family's 1533-position model. The record is from RNAcentral. Lineage: Bacteria; Pseudomonadati; Pseudomonadota; Betaproteobacteria; Burkholderiales; Alcaligenaceae.
AUUGACCGCUAGCGGGAUGCUUUACACAUGCAAGUCGAACGGCAGCGCGGACUUCGGUCUGGCGGCGAGUGGCGAACGGGUGAGUAAUGUAUCGGAACGUGCCCAGUAGCGGGGGAUACUACUCGAAAGAGUAGCUAAUCCGCAUACGCCCUACGGGGGAAAGGGGGGGAUCGCAAGACCUCUCACUAUUGGAGCGGCCGAUAUCGGAUUAGCUAGUUGGUGAGGUAAAGGCUCACCAAGGCGACGAUCCGUAGCUGGUUUGAGAGGACGACCAGCCACACUGGGACUGAGACACGGCCCAGACUCCUACGGGAGGCAGCAGUGGGGAAUUUUGGACAAUGGGGGAAACCCUGAUCCAGCCAUUCGAGUGUGCGAUGAAGGCCUUCGGGUUGUAAAGCACUUUUGGCAGGAAAGAAAUCGCACGGAUUAAUACUCUGUGUGGAUGACGG